GUGUAUGCAGGACUUCGAAAGAAAUUUAAAUUGGCAAUUUCAAAAUUACUCCAAAAAUGGCAGAGAUUGUAGUCACCACUUAACCCCUGGUGGUCAUUAACGAUAAAAUCCAAGGAGUUAUUUUGUGCAAGAUAUUGUGGGUUUUGGUGAAUAAAAUCUCGAGUAACGUUCCAUAAAGAAGGGAGGGUUUCAUAAUAAUCCGUCAUUGAUAUGACAAACCCAUACGCCUUAUUCUCGUCACU
Molecule: non-coding RNA, 242 nt
Organism: Schizosaccharomyces pombe (fission yeast)
Lineage: Eukaryota; Fungi; Ascomycota; Schizosaccharomycetes; Schizosaccharomycetales; Schizosaccharomycetaceae
Source: the annotation of a GenBank genome assembly